RNAcentral lists this small RNA (513 nucleotides) under Pan troglodytes (chimpanzee). RNAcentral's name for it is "retained intron". The record is from RNAcentral. Lineage: Eukaryota; Metazoa; Chordata; Mammalia; Primates; Hominidae.
AUGGGCGUCAUGAAUAACAUGCGGAAACAGUGAUUUAAAUCUACCACCCAGCUGUAGUUGAAUCUACAAUCUGCUCAGGGAUUUAUACUCAAUGCCAAUUUGAUAUCAUGCUGGGAGGGACUGAUUGCAGAACCUUCUUGACAAGCCACAUAAAUCUAAAGAAAACGUUGUGUGACGUGAUCCUCAUGGUCCAGGAAAGAAAGAUACCUGCUCAUCGUGUUGUUCUUGCUGCAGCCAGUCAUUUUUUUAACUUAAUGUUCACAACUAACAUGCUUGAAUCAAAGUCCUUUGAAGUAGAACUCAAAGAUGCUGAACCUGAUAUUAUUGAACAACUGGUGGAAUUUGCUUAUACUGCUAGAAUUUCCGUGAAUAGCAACAAUGUUCAGUCUUUGUUGGAUGCAGCAAACCAAUAUCAGAUUGAACCUGUGAAGAAAAUGUGUGUUGAUUUUUUGAAAGAACAAGUUGAUGCUUCAAAUUGUCUUGGUAAGAAAUAUCAGAUUCCUGUUGUGUGUU